RNAcentral lists this transfer RNA (74 nucleotides) under Magallana gigas (Pacific oyster). Its description in RNAcentral is "Crassostrea gigas (Pacific oyster) tRNA". It matches the Rfam family "tRNA". Rfam says of the family: Transfer RNA (tRNA) molecules are approximately 80 nucleotides in length. The record is from Rfam by way of RNAcentral. Lineage: Eukaryota; Metazoa; Mollusca; Bivalvia; Ostreida; Ostreidae.
CACCAGAUAGCUCAGUUGUAAGAGCACCUGACUAGAGAAUUCAGGGGGUCCUGGUUCGAAUUCUGAUCUGGUCU